This 673-nucleotide ribosomal RNA is filed under the name Streptomyces pulveraceus. RNAcentral's name for it is "bacterial SSU rRNA". It matches the Rfam family "Bacterial small subunit ribosomal RNA", at positions 173 to 859 of the family's 1533-position model. Lineage: Bacteria; Bacillati; Actinomycetota; Actinomycetes; Kitasatosporales; Streptomycetaceae. The record is from RNAcentral.
UAACACUCUGUCCCGCAUGGGACGGGGUUGAAAGCUCCGGCGGUGAAGGAUGAGCCCGCGGCCUAUCAGCUUGUUGGUGGGGUGAUGGCCUACCAAGGCGACGACGGGUAGCCGGCCUGAGAGGGCGACCGGCCACACUGGGACUGAGACACGGCCCAGACUCCUACGGGAGGCAGCAGUGGGGAAUAUUGCACAAUGGGCGAAAGCCUGAUGCAGCGACGCCGCGUGAGGGAUGACGGCCUUCGGGUUGUAAACCUCUUUCAGCAGGGAAGAAGCGCAAGUGACGGUACCUGCAGAAGAAGCGCCGGCUAACUACGUGCCAGCAGCCGCGGUAAUACGUAGGGCGCAAGCGUUGUCCGGAAUUAUUGGGCGUAAAGAGCUCGUAGGCGGCUUGUCGCGUCGGAUGUGAAAGCCCGGGGCUUAACCCCGGGUCUGCAUUCGAUACGGGCAGGCUAGAGUGUGGUAGGGGAGAUCGGAAUUCCUGGUGUAGCGGUGAAAUGCGCAGAUAUCAGGAGGAACACCGGUGGCGAAGGCGGAUCUCUGGGCCAUUACUGACGCUGAGGAGCGAAAGCGUGGGGAGCGAACAGGAUUAGAUACCCUGGUAGUCCACGCCGUAAACGUUGGGAACUAGGUGUUGGCGACAUUCCACGUCGUCGGUGCCGCAGCUAACGCA